RNAcentral lists this ribosomal RNA (468 nucleotides) under uncultured bacterium. Its description in RNAcentral is "partial 16S ribosomal RNA". It matches the Rfam family "Bacterial small subunit ribosomal RNA", at positions 28 to 507 of the family's 1533-position model. The record is from RNAcentral.
GACGAACGCUGGCGGCGUGCUUAACACAUGCAAGUCGAACGGAAAGGCCCUGCUUUUGUGGGGUGCUCGAGUGGCGAACGGGUGGGUAACACGUGAGUAACCUGCCCUUGACUUUGGGAUAACUUCAGGAAACCGGGGCUAAUACCGGAUAGGAGCUCCUGCUGCAUGGUGGGGGUUGGAAAGUUUCGGCGGUUGGGGAUGGACUCGCGGCUUAUCAGCUUGUUGGUGGGGUAGUGGCUUACCAAGGCUUUGACGGGUAGCCGGCCUGAGAGGGUGACCGGCCACAUUGGGACUGAGAUACGGCCCAGACUCCUACGGGAGGCAGCAGUGGGGAAUAUUGCACAAUGGGCGGAAGCCUGAUGCAGCAACGCCGCGUGCGGGAUGACGGCCUUCGGGUUGUAAACCGCUUUCGCCUGUGACGAAGCGUGAGUGACGGUAAUGGGUAAAGAAGCACCGGCUAACUACGUG